Small nucleolar RNA from Ictidomys tridecemlineatus (thirteen-lined ground squirrel), 132 nucleotides. Lineage: Eukaryota; Metazoa; Chordata; Mammalia; Rodentia; Sciuridae. The record is from Ensembl.
GGCUUUCUGGAACUUACCACAGGCUGUAUUCUUAUACCGACUGUAUACAAAGUGGAAGAAGAGUAAACCUGUCCUCUAUAUACCUCAGCCCAGGCCUUGUACCUGGCCUAUAUUAUAAAUGGGGGGAUGUUG